GACCCCCCUGAACGGGACUAGAGAAGGAGCAACAUAUCCUGUGCAAGUAUUCUACAGUUUUUAAAUGGAAUACCAACCAGCCUUACACACAAUACCUAUCUCGAUUGGACUUCCCCGGAUAUUCCCCGGCCCACGUCUUUUACAAGACGUGAGCUUCUAGCCCUCCAACACUCUUCCUCUUCCCAAUCAUCCCUUCCCUUCCGUCCUGACUCGUGAAUUCUCCAAGCUCGCCCAGAUCCUGAGCCAAUGGAGAAUUACUCUGCGCUCUGACACGGGCGUCCCAACACACACCUAUUCCCUGGACGCCUCUGUACUUGACCACAUUUCAUAUCAGAAAAUAUUCCAUCUUCGGCCAGUUUCGUCUAUCCAUUGGCCGUUUCUGAUCACCUCUCAAUUUCAGUCACCUUCAAGAUGCCCAGAAGUUUCCAUCGUCUGGACGUGACUCGAAAUGGGAGGUGUGUGGUCAAUGUGCAGAAGUGCACCGCUCAACUUGAGGCCCUGGAGCUAUCUAUCAAUACUGGGGUUGUGAGCAAUCCAGCUGCAGUGGCCCAAGGCAUUUCACAAGCAUUUAAAGAGUCCUCCUGAGCGUAAAGGAGGAGAGGAGGACUCAACACCCCAGGGUUCAGCACCCACCAUCGAGAGCUAAGGGGUCAAAUGCUCCAAAAACUGCGUAGUGCCAAAACGAGCCAAACACUGCAGACUUGGGAGCAAUAUGCGAUAUCAAGAAUUGCAUAUCACAAGUCUCUGAGGAGCACCACGUCAGCCCUGGGUUCCAUAGGUUGGAAGUGGAAAACCUGCUCUCUUCAUCUGCCUCGUCCCCUAAUGGCGGGCUUGUACAAACGUGCCAAAAAGCCCGCCACCAACUUGGAGAUUCCCAUGAGUAAAUUCCUCCUCCACUGUCAAGAACUGUUUGCAUCAACAUUGGAAACAGUAGUUGAGGAGGUCCAGGGCUGCCCAGAAGAACACCAUCCCCUUUUGCAGCCCUUCACGGAACCCGAGAUGGACGUGGCUUUCAAGAAGAGUAAAGCCCCCUCAACAUCUGGGGUCUCUCCUUUCCAACUUUCACUUCUCCAGACCCAAACCCAGCCACUCCUCCAAGAUCUUUUCAGCCUCGCCCUCCAUUCUUCCCUCUUUCCACCAGCAUGGAUGGAGUCAGCCAUCAUCUUCAUCCAUAAGAAGGGGCCCAGGGACAUUUCAAACAACCAUCGGACCAUCGCCCUGGAGAACCCCUUCUUGAAGAUGAUGUCCACCCUACUAGCUGCCUGCUUCUCCGGAUUGGCCCAGGAUAGGGAUCUCCUUCCCUAGUUCCAAUUCAGUUUCCAGAGAAGCCGCUCAACCACCACGGCAGCUACUCUCCUCUAUGAAUUUGUGCAUCCCAACAUCAGCAACAAGUGGAGAGUGUAUGGAUGCUUGGUUGAUUUCUUCAAAGCAUUUGACAGGGUGGACUGAACGCGGUUAUUCCUCAAACUCAAACUAUGGGGAGUUCCGCGUUCAAUCCGUGUCCUGCUGUCCAACAUCUAUGCGGGACUCAGAUGCUCCAUUCGUUUUGGUGAGGAUCUAUCCCCCUGCUACUUCACUUCCGUUGGCCUUCCGCAGGGGGAUCCACUAUCGCCAAUUCUUUUCAAUCUUUAUGUAUCCGACCUGCCCGUAGCCCUCACCCACCAAGGCCCCACCAUUAACCGUUUUAUGGUACAAUAUCUUGCAAUGAUAUGCAGACGACCUGGUUCUCUUGGCUAAUUCAGCCGUGGAAUUGCAAAAUGCCAUCAAUGCACUCCACGGUUAUUGCCAAGAGAACGGCCCUCAAAUCAACACCAUCAAGACGAAGGCCAUGGUUUUCCAUAAAGGUCGUCUGCCUCCCACCUCCUUCCUUAUUAACAAUAGUCCGAUUGAAAUCGUCAAUAAUUUUAGUUUGUCAGUUUCACAUUCUCAACUCAACUCUCCUUCACCAAUAAUCUCAAAUCAUCAACAGUCAAAGCCAGGGCCAGGGUCGGAUACAUUUGCAAUAGACUUCCUAUCAAGAAUCUUCUCCUUCCAAUAGUUCUUCAACUCUUCCGGACCUACAUCACUCCAAUUUUCUUCUACGGUCUUCGCCUUUGGCUCCCAAACUCCGCUCAAUCCGCCCUCAAAUCCGAUGCCACCUUCACAAAGUUCCUCAAACGAUACCUGUGCGUGCCCCAAUAUGCAAACAAUGCAUGGACGCAUUUCCUAUGCGAAACCGAGCCCCUCGCCAAUGGGCUGGCAAGGUUAGUGUCCAACAGUGUUGGGAACCUGACCUUUCCGGAGGUGAUGUCCGGACACAAGUUGUCCUUUCCGGUCAAGGACUUGCUAACAAGGAUGACUUCCAAAGACAAGAUUCGAACUAACAACCUCUGUGGAACUGUGCCGCCUUGGAUACAACAGACGCCUCAGCUAUUAUACAUUAAGUAGAGAGCAUAUAUAUUCGGAGUUCUUUCUGAGCAUACUAAACUUGGGCUGAUAUAUCCUUUCAGAAAACAUAAGUUAUAUAUUGCUUGUAAGAGCUUGUCUUGGAUAACAAAACCGUAUAUACAUUAAUGUUUAUAUUUCUA
Molecule: long non-coding RNA, 2567 nt
Organism: Tigriopus californicus
Lineage: Eukaryota; Metazoa; Arthropoda; Copepoda; Harpacticoida; Harpacticidae
Exons: 2
Source: RefSeq, a predicted model, not a curated record